CCUCUUCCACUCGCCGCAUCCAGGGGCUGCUUCACACUUUGGGUUAUCAAUCUUUGGGGCCUCCCAUUCACCAUCCUCCUCAUCAUCCCAAUCCUCAGGUUUUGUGGCCUCAGGGUCAUCUAUCUCCUCAGGGUCAUCAUCCAGCCAUCCUUCAGGUUUCACAGCAUCCUCAUCUUCAAUUUCCAUGGGAGCAUCCUCAUCCCAGUCUUCAGGUUUUACUGCAUCAGGGUCAGGAAUCUUUGCCCUCUCAUCCCAAUCCUCAGGCUUCUUGUCAUCUGGAUCAGGAAUUGUCUUCUCAGGAAUGAGCGGUGGCUGAAAAUCAUCAGCAGCGAGGAAAUUUGCCUUCUGCUUCUCCUCUCCAUCAAUUAAAAUUCUCAACUCAUUAUCAGGUUUCAAGAUGGCAGUGUAUACAUGAGUCAGUUUAUCAGAGGGCACAGAAGGUGGGUUCUUGAGAUGGUGUUCAAUGUACUCUCCACUCUUGGGAUUCUUAUGCUUUAAGAUGAA
This 504-nucleotide long non-coding RNA is filed under the name Citrus sinensis (sweet orange). RNAcentral describes it as "long non-coding RNA (CSIN_LNC003042)". Lineage: Eukaryota; Viridiplantae; Streptophyta; Magnoliopsida; Sapindales; Rutaceae. The record is from RNAcentral.